This 396-nucleotide unclassified non-coding RNA is filed under the name soil metagenome. RNAcentral describes it as "partial contains 5.8S ribosomal RNA, internal transcribed spacer 2, and large subunit ribosomal RNA". The stretch from base 1 to 122 matches the Rfam family "5.8S ribosomal RNA", at positions 35 to 154 of the family's 154-position model. The record is from RNAcentral.
GAUGAAGAACGUAGCGAAAUGCGAUACUUGGUGUGAAUUGCAGAAUCCCGUGAACCAUCGACUCUUUGAACGCAAGUUGCGCCCGAAGCCAUUAGGCCGAGGGCACGCCUGCCUGGGUGUCACACACCGUUACCCUCGCGCCAACGUCCAUCGUUGGCCGCGGCGCGGGGCGUGCGCUGACCUCCCGCGAGCGGGGUCUCGUGGUUGGUUGAAAAUCGAGUUCGCGGUCGAGGGUGCCGUGAUGAAAUGGUGGAUGGGCGACGCCCGAGGCCAAUCACGCGCGACUCUGUCCAGCUCGGACUCCUGGACCCCUUCGGCGUCUCCGGACGCUCUUUGGCGAGACCUCAGGUCAGGCGGGGCUACCCGCUGAGUUUAAGCAUAUCAAUAAGCGGAGGA